GGAGGGAUAGCGAAGUGGCUAAACGCGACGGACUGUAAAUCCGUUCCCUCAGGGUUCGAAGGUUCGAAUCCUUCUCCCUCCACCA
Molecule: transfer RNA, 85 nt
Filed under: Sporolactobacillus sp. THM19-2
Lineage: Bacteria; Bacillati; Bacillota; Bacilli; Caryophanales; Sporolactobacillaceae
Description: tRNA-Tyr
Rfam family: tRNA
About the family: Transfer RNA (tRNA) molecules are approximately 80 nucleotides in length. Their secondary structure includes four short double-helical elements and three loops (D, anti-codon, and T loops). Further hydrogen bonds mediate the characteristic L-shaped molecular structure. tRNAs have two regions of fundamental functional importance: the anti-codon, which is responsible for specific mRNA codon recognition, and the 3' end, to which the tRNAs corresponding amino acid is attached (by aminoacyl-tRNA synthetases). tRNAs cope with the degeneracy of the genetic code in two manners: having more than one tRNA (with a specific anti-codon) for a particular amino acid; and 'wobble' base-pairing, i.e. permitting non-standard base-pairing at the 3rd anti-codon position.
Source: RNAcentral